This 141-nucleotide ribosomal RNA is filed under the name Saprolegnia parasitica. RNAcentral describes it as "5.8S ribosomal RNA". The stretch from base 20 to 141 matches the Rfam family "5.8S ribosomal RNA", at positions 1 to 122 of the family's 154-position model. From Rfam's summary of the family: 5.8S ribosomal RNA (5.8S rRNA) is a component of the large subunit of the eukaryotic ribosome. It is transcribed by RNA polymerase I as part of the 45S precursor that also contains 18S and 28S rRNA. The record is from RNAcentral. Lineage: Eukaryota; Oomycota; Saprolegniomycetes; Saprolegniales; Saprolegniaceae.
CUGCAUGCAAUUGAAAUACAACUUUCAACAGUGGAUGUCUAGGCUCGCACACCGAUGAAGAACGCUGCGAACUGCGAUACGUAAUGCGAAUUGCAGAAUUCAGUGAGUCAUCAAAAUUUUGAACGCAUAUUGCACUUCCGG